Molecule: ribosomal RNA, 1205 nt
Filed under: Atkinsoniella zizhongi
Lineage: Eukaryota; Metazoa; Arthropoda; Insecta; Hemiptera; Cicadellidae
Description: Atkinsoniella sp. 1 YJ-2022a 16S ribosomal RNA
Source: RNAcentral
UUAUAAAUAUUUAUUAUGUUUAUUAUUAAUAUUUUUAUUUUAGUAUUAAAUGAGAAAAAUUGAUUUUAUUAAAUUGAAAAGUUAUUUAUUUUACAAUUUUAUAAUAAUUAUAUAGUACCUUUUGUAUCAGGGUUGAUUAAAUUAAUUUUAUUUUUAUAAUAUUCCCGAAAUAAAGAUAUUUAUUUUAAAUUUUUUUUUGUUGUUUUAUUAACAUUUAUAAAUAUAAUAUGGUAGAUAGACUCUAAUCGCUCUUUAUUAUAUCUGGUUAUUUAGGAAUUCAAUUUAAUUGAUGAUUAAAGUUAGUCUUUCAUUUUAUUUAAUUUAAUCUUAUAAAAUUUGGGAUAAUCUGUUUUUUUAUUUAAAAUUUUAAUAAAUUAUUAUUUUUUUAUUUUAAAAUCUUAUAUUUAGUUCUUAAUAGAUUAAUAUUAAUAUUUUUAAUUUUAUUAAAUUUAUAUUUUUACUAAAUUUAUUAAAUAAUUUUAUAUUUUUUUUCAAUAAUGAUUAAAUUAGUAUGGUUUUAAAUUAAAAUAUAAAUAACUCGACAAAAUUAAUCUUCAACUGUUUAUCAAAAACAUUUCUUUUAGUUUAAAAUUAAAGGUAAGUUCUGCCCUAUGAUUUAUUAAUUAAAUGGCUGCAGUAUAUUGACUGUGCAAAGGUAGCAUAAUAAUUAGUCAUUUAAUUGUUGACUUGUAUGAAUGGAUACAUGAAAGAUUUAUUUUUUUUAUUUUACAAUUAAAAUUUUAUUUUUAGGUAAAAAAGCUUUAAUUAAUUUUUAGGGACGAUAAGACCCUAAAGAACUUUAUUAUAUAUUUAUUAUUAAGUAUUUUUAGCUUAUUAUUAUAUUUAUAUUUUAUAUAUUUUUUUGUUGGGGUGACAGAUAAAUUUAACUUUAUUUUUUUAAAUCAUUAAUUUAUGAUUGUUAUGAUCCAUAAUUUAGAUUAAAAGAUUAAGUUACCUUAGGGAUAACAGCGUAAUUUUAAUGGGGAGUUCAUAUUUAUAUUAAAGUUUGCGACCUCGAUGUUGAAUUAAGAUAAGAUUGAGGGGCAGGUUUUUCAUUUCUGAGUCUGUUCGACUUUUAAAUUCUUACAUGAUUUGAGUUCAAACCGGUGUAAGCCAGGUUGGUUUCUAUCUUAAAAAAUAUUUUUUUAUUUAGUACGAAAGGACCAAUAAUUACAAUUUUUUUUUGUUUAUUAUUGAAUUUAAUU